This 1184-nucleotide ribosomal RNA is filed under the name uncultured bacterium. RNAcentral's name for it is "bacterial SSU rRNA". It matches the Rfam family "Bacterial small subunit ribosomal RNA", at positions 226 to 1399 of the family's 1533-position model. The record is from RNAcentral.
UGGACCUGCGGUGCAUUAGCUUAGUUGGUAAGGUAACGGCUUACCAAGGCAAUGAUUGCAUAGCCGAGUUGAGAGACUGAUCGGCCACAUUGGGACUGAGACACGGCCCAAACUCCUACGGGAGGCAGCAGUAGGGAAUCUUCCACAAUGGACGAAAGUCUGAUGGAGCAACGCCGCGUGAGUGAAGAAGGGUUUCGGCUCGUAAAGCUCUGUUGGUAGUGAAGAAAGAUAGAGGUAGUAACUGGCCUUUAUUUGACGGUAAUUACUUAGAAAGUCACGGCUAACUACGUGCCAGCAGCCGCGGUAAUACGUAGGUGGCAAGCGUUGUCCGGAUUUAUUGGGCGUAAAGCGAGUGCAGGCGGUUCAAUAAGUCUGAUGUGAAAGCCUUCGGCUCAACCGGAGAAUUGCAUCAGAAACUGUUGAACUUGAGUGCAGAAGAGGAGAGUGGAACUCCAUGUGUAGCGGUGGAAUGCGUAGAUAUAUGGAAGAACACCAGUGGCGAAGGCGGCUCUCUGGUCUGCAACUGACGCUGAGGCUCGAAAGCAUGGGUAGCGAACAGGAUUAGAUACCCUGGUAGUCCAUGCCGUAAACGAUGAGUGCUAAGUGUUGGGAGGUUUCCGCCUCUCAGUGCUGCAGCUAACGCAUUAAGCACUCCGCCUGGGGAGUACGACCGCAAGGUUGAAACUCAAAGGAAUUGACGGGGGCCCGCACAAGCGGUGGAGCAUGUGGUUUAAUUCGAAGCAACGCGAAGAACCUUACCAAGUCUUGACAUCUGGGUGACAGGAGGGUAAUGCCUUUUUUCCUUCGGGACACCCAAGGCAGGUGGUGCAUGGUUGUCGUCAGCUCGUGUCGUGAGAUGUUGGGUUAAGUCCCGCAACGAGCGCAACCCUUAUUCUUAGUAGCCAGCAGGUAAAGCUGGGCACUCUAGGGAGACUGCCAGGGAUAACCUGGAGGAAGGUGGGGAUGACGUCAAAUCAUCAUGCCCCUUAUGAUUUGGGCUACACACGUGCUACAAUGGCGUAAACAAAGGGAAGCGAGCAUGUGAAUGUAAGCAAAUCUCAAAAAUAACGUCUCAGUUCGGAUUGUAGUCUGCAACUCGACUACAUGAAGCUGGAAUCGCUAGUAAUCGCGAAUCAGCAUGUCGCGGUGAAUACGUUCCCGGGUCUUGCACUCACCGCCCGUCA